CAUCAUUAUUUAUAUGUGGUACUGAGGAUUGAACCCAGGGCCCCACAUUUGUUAGGCAAGUGGUCUACCGCUGAGUUACAGUCCCAGCCCCUUAAUUGAAUUCUUUUUCUAAUGAGUGUACAUAAGUUUUACAAAAAUGACCCCCAAAAAAGUUUUGUACUUGUUUUUCUAGAACAAGUUUUUUAAGACAAUUUCAGUAACCUCAUUUUAUUUUGUUCAACUUCAGGACACUUGGGACUUAAGUGUGGUGAGGGUUUCUUUAUAGCUUUUUAUAGGUGUUAUGGUUUGCACUUGGCUGCUGAUAUUCUCUACCUUCCUCCCUUCCUGAUUAGCAAAAGAUACAGAUAUUGUGGAUGAAGCCAUCUAUUACUUCAAGGCCAAUGUCUUCUUCAAGAACUAUGAAAUUAAGAAUGAAGCUGAUAGGACCUUGAUAUAUAUCACCCUCUACAUUUCUGAGUGUCUAAAGAAACUCCAAAAGGUAAUUAAACUUGGAUAAUCAUAUUUCCUCUGACUUAGAGCAUUUAUUUAAGAGGAAAAUCUGAAUGUAGUUCUUCGAAUUCAUAAUGUGGUUGACUAUCAUACCCCCCCCAAAAAAAAA
Molecule: non-coding RNA, 598 nt
Organism: Ictidomys tridecemlineatus (thirteen-lined ground squirrel)
Lineage: Eukaryota; Metazoa; Chordata; Mammalia; Rodentia; Sciuridae
Source: RefSeq, a predicted model, not a curated record